CAAUAGCGUAUAUUAACGUUGUUGCAGUUAAAAAGCUCGUAGUUGGAUCUCUGGAGGGAGCGUCGGCCCGUAUUUACGAGUGCGUGACGUCUCUGUCCAUCCUUGCGGGAAGGCACGGCAUUGAUUUGUUGUGUCGGAUCGCAUCAUUUACUGUGAAAAAUUAGAGUGUUCAAAGCAGGCUUUCGCUUGAAUACAUUAGCAUGGAAUAAUAAGAUAGGACUUUGGUGCUAUUUUGUUGGUUGAGCCUAAAGUAAUGAUUAAUAGGGAUAGUUGGGGGCACCUGUAUUGCGUUGUCAGAGGUGAAAUUCUUGGAUUUACGCAAGACAAACAGCUGCGAAAGCGUCUGCCAAGGAUGUUUUCAUUAA
Molecule: ribosomal RNA, 365 nt
Filed under: uncultured eukaryote
Lineage: Eukaryota
Description: partial 18S ribosomal RNA
Rfam family: Eukaryotic small subunit ribosomal RNA
Source: RNAcentral